GACGAACGCUGGCGGCGUGCUUAACACAUGCAAGUCGAGCGGUAAGGCCCUUUCGGGGGUACACGAGCGGCGAACGGGUGAGUAACACGUGGGUGACCUGCCCUCAGCUCUGGGAUAAGCCCGGGAAACUGGGUCUAAUACCGGAUAUGACUUCAUGACGCAUGUUGUGGAGUGGAAAGCCUUGUGCGGCUGAGGAUGGGCCCGCGGCCUAUCAGCUUGUUGGUGGGGUGAUGGCCUACCAAGGCGACGACGGGUAGCCGGCCUGAGAGGGCGACCGGCCACACUGGGACUGAGAUACGGCCCAGACUCCUACGGGAGGCAGCAGUGGGAAUCUUGCGCAAUGGGCGAAAGCCUGACGCAGCGACGCCGCGUGAGGAUGACGGCCU
Molecule: ribosomal RNA, 386 nt
Filed under: uncultured bacterium
Lineage: Bacteria
Description: bacterial SSU rRNA
Rfam family: Bacterial small subunit ribosomal RNA
Source: RNAcentral